AUUGAACGCUGGCGGCAGGCCUAACACAUGCAAGUCGAGCGGAGCGACGGACGGGUGCGUAAUGCAUAGGAAACUGCCUGGCCGUGGGGGCUAACGUCCGGAAGCGGACGGUAAAACCUUCCAUUAUCCGCUGAACCUAGGUCGAAUUAGCGAGUUGGUGGGGUAAAGGCCUACCAAGGCGACGAUCCGUAACUGGUCUGAGAGGAUGCUCAGUCACACUGGACCUGAGACACGGUCCAGACUCCUACGGGAGGCAGCAGUGGGGAAUAUUGGACAAUGGGCGAAAGCCUGAUCCAGCCAUGCCGCGUGUGUGAAGAAGGUCUUCGGAUUGUAAAGCACUUUAAGUUGGGAGGCGUUACCAACAGAAUAAGCACCGGCUAACUUCGUGCCAGCAGCCGCGGUAAUAC
This 407-nucleotide ribosomal RNA is filed under the name uncultured bacterium. RNAcentral's name for it is "partial 16S ribosomal RNA". It matches the Rfam family "Bacterial small subunit ribosomal RNA", at positions 30 to 526 of the family's 1533-position model. The record is from RNAcentral.